Long non-coding RNA from Tribolium castaneum (red flour beetle), 963 nucleotides. RefSeq lists it as uncharacterized. The transcript has 2 exons. Lineage: Eukaryota; Metazoa; Arthropoda; Insecta; Coleoptera; Tenebrionidae. The record is from RefSeq and is a predicted model, not a curated record.
CACUCUGUAACUUCCAUCUCAAUUAAUUAGUAAAUUGUUUUCACUUACCUCUCUAUUAACUAACCAUCGACACAAUAAAGGUCCAUUUGCACAAAGCCACAUUUUCAAAAUGUAAACAAACUUAACCUUUUCCACCUGUCGUUAAACACCAAUUUCGUAUGCGGCUUUCAAGAACCAAGUGCGCGCUCUCGGAGGAUCUUUGCGAUAAAUUCAAAAUUUUUCAUUUUCUUUUACAUAGACCGAUAUGGGCCACGGUUCGCGCCACGAAAACGGGCAGGGAGAAGUCGUCUGACUUUCCAACAACCUUCCUUUUCCGCUGUGGUACUGGUCGAGUACGGAUGCUCUAGUGAGAAUUGUGUGAAAAUCUACCUUGUCUAAAUUUACCUUUCCCGAUCUCGGGACUAUCGACUUACACAUUUUCGUACCGUCCGUAUUUAAAUACCACAUCAAUUUCCUUCGUCGCCCUCACAGAGGGAUCUACGCUGGGGUCGAACUAGUUCCGGAGCGUUUCUGCACCUGUAGCUAUCGGAUAACCCGGAUCUAUACAAGCUUCAAAGCGAGCCGUUGAGCCUUCCCUUGCACCAGCACUUCGGCAACCAGUAGAAACGCCUGGAUCGCUCGUACCCGUCCGACCUUGAUAAGAAACCAUCGACGAUAAGUACCUCGUAUUUUUUUGUUACGAUUUCCUUGAAGUCGCGUUGCGUUGGUCCAUAGUGCGGGAUUUCAAGCUUAUUUUCUCUCUAGUUUACUCUGUCUCUCCUUGUUUUAAUUUGAAUCUUGAAUUUUUUAUUUUAUUAAUUGCUAAGUUUCAUGUGAACAUAUCACAGCUGUGAAAUGGCCAUUCAAGACAAUUCUGUUUUCGUUUUAUUUAAUAUUUGACUUCAAUAUAAAUUUAAUUUUGUUGGAAACCGACACAUUAAUUUAAUUUCAACUAAUCUUAAUUAAAUUUUUUGUUACACUUUA